GUUUACUCUGUUGCAUGAAAUUGAAAGCCCACUUAUUUGUUGACAUCACCAAUUAUACAUAAUAGAAGCUUAUAUUUUGGUAUAUGUUUUGGAUUCCAUAAGAGCGAAUAUGUCAUUUUAUUUGAGGAGUGGCUCAAUGUCUUUCAAUACGUCAGAGCCAGCACAACAGUAGGACCCUUUCUGUGUGCAGAGACAGGAAGGCACACACACCUCCCAGCCUUAACCACAGCUCACUUGUACUAAAAGCUACUGGAAAUGAAUUCUGUUUGUAUUUUGGUGCUGAGGAUUGAAUGAAGGGCCUUGUGCAUGCCAUGCAUGCACUCUACAACUGAGCUGUAGCCCCAGCCCUGAAAAUGAAUUCUGAUGCAAAAAUAUGAUAGGAAUACAAAAUGCUCACAGGAUCUGGAGUUGGAGGGACACUGAGACUGCUUUUCCCUUAAAAGAUGAGGGUUCUCCCAGAUCCAGAAACUUUUGUGAGUCCUUCUAGCCCAUCCAUCACUUCCUCCUGAUACCCCCAAAACUUCAUCAGCACCUCUCUUCCUCAUGCUGACACUUUUUUGUGUUCACUUCUGAGACAUUCCAGUUCAUCUGUAAGCUCCUCAGUCUGCUGGAAAAUUUAAAGGUUUACAAAUAGGUUCUGUCAUUUUAAAAAGCUUUGUAGUAAGUUUAAGUAGAGAUCAGACAAACCACAACUUAUUAAGAGGCUACAGGAAGCUGUUGAGCAUUUAAUACCUGUUUAUAACACAAAGCAAAGCUAAUUAUGGUUUUAUUAAGAAACAUCUGUAAUCUCUUUCUUAAACUGGUUUAGCAAUAAGUUUUGUAAAGUGUUUCAGCUGGGGAUUUAUUGUAGGCAUGUAAUUAUGUAAAUUUUCUUAGAUCCCAUGACACAAGGGGAUUGUGGAGAACUGACCUAACUCUGUUAUGAGGGGGAGAUCUGACUUCUAACAGUUUUUAAAGUCCUGCUCUUCCAUACAGCAAUCUUUGUUAUGGUAAUAUUCACAAAAACAAGUUUACUAGCAAACAGAUAACUUGGUGUUUCCUGGAGUACAGCAUCCACUGACUUGACAUGGACUUGAGCUCUACUUCUUUCUUACCUAGACUUCAAACAGCCUCUACUAGCUUUGAUAAUAAGUACCCUAACUGGAAGAUAUUUUGGAAUGCAGUGAAAUAUUGUAGACAUCUCUUAAAGGUCUUUUAGAAUUUUCUUCUCUCUCUCUCUCUCUCUCUCUCUCUUUUUUUUUUUUUUUUUUUUUUGCACUGAUAAUGUUUACACUUACUGAGCAUCAGUUUUGAUACCAGGCCCUUCAUGCAGACCAAAACAAUGAGAAAUGUUUCUAAAUCUCAAAUAUUUAUAAAUAUGAUACCUCUGGCUGAAAAGUUGUUAAACAUCAUUUGUACAUUUUGUCCUUUAUAUUUUUAUGUAAUGCUUUCUGCAAUUAAAUGUGCCUCAGUUAUUUGCUACUUGGCUAACAAAACCUAAAAAUACAGCUGUAAAUAAAGCAUGCUGUAUGUUUUUUUCUUGCUUGAUUUGUUUCUGGUCUGAUUAUGUCUACUUUUUACUUAAGGAACUUUCAUGUGGAUAAUACUCAUAACCAGGGUAAGUUAUGAGUUUUCUUUGGGUAAUUAUUAGAAUUUGUAAUAGUGACAUUUAAAUAGACUUUAUUUGAAAAAGCUACUUGAAAACUGCAGUACAUGCAAUACCUAUAGUGACAUAUAUACAAUUUUUUCCUGAAAAUAUAUAAUAUACAGUA
Molecule: long non-coding RNA, 1751 nt
Filed under: Marmota monax (woodchuck)
Lineage: Eukaryota; Metazoa; Chordata; Mammalia; Rodentia; Sciuridae
Source: RNAcentral